This 253-nucleotide ribosomal RNA is filed under the name uncultured bacterium. RNAcentral's name for it is "partial 16S ribosomal RNA". It matches the Rfam family "Bacterial small subunit ribosomal RNA", at positions 524 to 776 of the family's 1533-position model. The record is from RNAcentral.
UACGUAGGGGGCAAGCGUUAUCCGGAUUUACUGGGUGUAAAGGGGGCGCAGACGGCGAUGCAAGCCAGGAGUGAAAGCCCGGGGCCCAACCCCGGGACUGCUCUUGGAACUGCGUGGCUGGAGUGCAGGAGGGGCAGGCGGAAUUCCUGGUGUAGCGGUGAAAUGCGUAGAUAUCAGGAGGAACACCGGUGGCGAAGGCGGCCUGCUGGACUGCAACUGACGUUGAGGCUCGAGAGCGUGGGGAGCAAACAGG